Schistosoma haematobium is the source of this 45-nucleotide non-coding RNA. The record is from Rfam. Lineage: Eukaryota; Metazoa; Platyhelminthes; Trematoda; Strigeidida; Schistosomatidae.
ACCCAAUUGACGAGUCCCAAAUAGGAAGAAACGCGAGUCUUGGAU